GACGAACGCUGGCGGCAUGCCUAACACAUGCAAGUCGAACGAGGAGCGUCGGACGUUUCCUUCUAUCACUCGUAGUGACGAACGGGUGAGUCAUGCGGAAUCAACCUGCCCUCGCGAGAGGGUGCAGAGAUGGACACGACUGCCCGCGGCGCAUACGACCUAAUCACGGCAUCGAGGAGGGAUGCAAGGUGCCCUCUACCUUUUAGCUAUCACUGGAGGAGGGGCCUGCGUCUGAUUAGCUCGUUGGAGGGGUCAGGGCCAACCAAGGCGAUGAUCAGUAGCCGGUCUGAGAGGAUGAACGGCGAAAUUGGGACUGGGACACGACCCAGACUACUGCGGGAGGCAGCAGUCGGGAAUCUUCCGCAAUGGACGAAAGGGGGACGGAGCAACGACGCGUGAGUGAUGAAGGCCGUCGGGUUGUAUAGCUCUGUUAAUCGGGACGAAAGGCCUGCUUGUGAAUAGUGAGGAGGAUUGACGGUACCGGAAGAGAAAGCCACGGCUAACUACGUG
This 510-nucleotide ribosomal RNA is filed under the name uncultured bacterium. RNAcentral's name for it is "partial 16S ribosomal RNA". It matches the Rfam family "Bacterial small subunit ribosomal RNA", at positions 28 to 507 of the family's 1533-position model. The record is from RNAcentral.